UGGCUGGUGUUCUAACGUGGGCCCGUGAACCGGGUUGCGGACAGUGUCUGGUGGGUAGUUUGACUGGGGCGGUCUCCUCCUAAAGAGUAACGGAGGAGCACGAAGGUUGGCUAAUCCUGGUCGGACAUCAGGAGGUUAGUGCAAUGGCAUAAGCCAGCUUGACUGCGAGCGUGACGGCGCGAGCAGGUGCGAAAGCAGGUCAUAGUGAUCCGGUGGUUCUGAAUGGAAGGGCCAUCGCUCAACGGAUAAAAGGUACUCCGGGGAUAACAGGCUGAUACCGCCCAAGAGUUCAUAUCGACGGCGGUGUUUGGCACCUCGAUGUCGGCUCAUCACAUCCUGGGGCUGAAGUAGGUCCCAAGGGUAUGGCUGUUCGCCAUUUAAAGUGGUACGCGAGCUGGGUUUAGAACGUCGUGAGACAGUUCGGUCCCUAUCUGCCGUGGGCGCUGGAAGAUUGAGGGGGGCUGCUCCUAGUACGAGAGGACCGGAGUGGACGCAUCACUGGUGUUCGGGUUGUCAUGCCAAUGGCACUGCCCGGUAGCUACAUGCGGAAGAGAUAAGUGCUGAAAGCAUCUAAGCACGAAACUUGCCCCGAGAUGAAUCUUCCCUGAGCCUUUAAGGCUCCUGAAGGAACGUUGAAGACGACGACGUUGAUAGGCCGGGUGUGUAAGCGCAGCGAUGCGUUGAGCUAACCGGUACUAAUGAACCGUGAGGCUUAACCUU
Molecule: ribosomal RNA, 720 nt
Filed under: Salmonella enterica
Lineage: Bacteria; Pseudomonadati; Pseudomonadota; Gammaproteobacteria; Enterobacterales; Enterobacteriaceae
Also listed under: 2 other names
Description: partial 23S ribosomal RNA
Rfam family: Bacterial large subunit ribosomal RNA
Source: RNAcentral